Anneissia japonica is the source of this 1001-nucleotide long non-coding RNA. RefSeq lists it as uncharacterized. The transcript has 3 exons. The record is from RefSeq and is a predicted model, not a curated record. Lineage: Eukaryota; Metazoa; Echinodermata; Crinoidea; Comatulida; Comatulidae.
CAAGAAUUCAGGCAGAAUUUGGUAUAUUAUUAUAUCUAUAUUGGUUGAAAACUGGCAAUAGUGAUAAAAAAAAAAGUACAAUACUGCUAAAACAUUUUGAAGAAAUUGAAUGGAAAUAUAUUAGGCUUAGAUUACUAUCUGAUGAACCUUCAGAGGUGAUAAGGAAUACAUGAGGACUUCAAAAGCAUUGCAUACCAUUUGCUCUAUGCAUAUACCAACACCAUACUAUCUAUAUAUACCAUACUGUACUACGAAAACACAUCUAGUCUUUGGAAUAACGCUACAUGGUUUUCGAGUCUAAAAACCUUUUUAGUGCUUUUUCAUCAGUUAUUUUUAACAUGCAUACGAAUGUCAGAUGGUCGAUUGGCAGAGUGGUUAAGGCAGGGCAACCGCAACCUACAGCCAAUAGUAUUAGCACUGGUUCGUUUUUCCGGAUUUUUCCGGUGGUGGAACAAGUCCUCUUGGAUAACUUGGAUAAGACGAGACUUUUUUAUAUACCUUUAAAGAAAAAAAAAAUUAAAUUUUGUUUUAUUUAGAAAAUAGUUUUGCCAAAAACAUCCAGAUGGGGAAGAAAAUAACAUUUAAAUUUUAUUGGUGAAUGUAUGUAGUAAUGGGAGGGUUAAUGCUUAAUAUAUAUAAUUAGGAAUAUAAAUAGGCAAUUCUUAUUUUGGAGAUUUCAAGGCAGAGGCAAGCAUAAUAAAAAUAAAUUAAAAAGUUUUAUUUAAAUUUUCUGAAAUUUCCAAUUUUUAUUGUUGGCAUGGGCUAAUUAUCUAAAAAUUUAAUUAAAUUUUUAUUUGAAAUCAUAAUUUUUUGGCGGGCGGCGGGGGCGGCGGGUUCGCUAAACAAGGUAUAAAAAGUUUCGCCUAAAGACUAUAAAUGAGCCCAAUGUACACAAUUGGCUCAUGUACAGUAAUGCUGGGGUUGCCAAACAUUAUAGCCUGGUUCUCACGAGAGCCCUAGUAUCCGGAUCAGGAGCUAAUCGUUAGCGCUAACCGUUAGCA